AUGCUUACAGUAUUGGGUUUUUUCCCCCUCACCUCUGUUACAGUGAUUCAUUCCAGCCUGGUAGAACAGAGAAGCAUCGAUGAUUCGCCUUGUGAUGGGCAUCUAGGCCGAGGGGACCCAAGGAAGCUCCAGUCUCUGAUUUUCAAAGUCCUCAGGGAUUUGGCACCAGCACCUACAAGGAAAUUUCCACAAACUUAUUUGCUGCUGAAGCUGAAAUAUGCUCUCCAUCCUGGGGGGGAGGGAAAUAACAAACCUUCCAGAAGGGGAAGGAGAAGUUUGAGGACAUGGAAGCUACAAAGACAAGAAGAAGGAGACAGAGAGGAGAGGAAGAGACUGCCCAAGAGCAGAAUCCCAGAGCUUGAAGUGAGAGACAGAACUGUGUGUGGGGGUGACACUGGCCAAGCUGACAGUUCAUGGGGGUGGAUGGAUGGAACAUCAACCUCCUGGAAGAAGUCAAGUUCUGGCUCUUGGGCACCACCUGGCUUCCCACCCCUGCUCUGAGUGAACUCUGCAUCUUUGGACUCACAAGUUUAUGUGAUAGGAGAUUGUGAUUCCCUUUAUCUCCUUCAACAAGGGCCCCAUGUCCUUCCCUGAGCUAGUGGCCAUGGCUCAACUGCCCCACCUUCCUGAAUCUCACUCGUGGAGGUAUCUCCAAGGGGCUAGAGAAGUCAGGAUUCCUUUCCUAUUGGAAUUGUCCCAUUUUUGUGUCCCCACCCUUCCAGUCCUCAUAACACUGGCUAACAAAUGUUUACACCCCUGUCCCAUCCCUGGAGAGUCCAUCCUUCUUGGACCUUCCUGCUUGCCUUUCCAUGGGAAUAGGAGGCAGGAUGUCUCUGAAGGUUCCCUAGAUACUGGCUGAUUAGCUAGCCAUAGUCCUAUCCUCCACCAGCUGCUCCCUAUAGAUUUAUUUUUAAUAAUAGAUUUCUUCAGAUUCAUACAAGGACUGUAUCAUCCUGCAUUCAUUGUAUCUGGUCCUAUUGGCCAGAACUGUCUUGGUCUCAUUGACAUUGGGGGCUUGGGGAUGUGGUCUGAAUAUUUCUAAGCCACUUAAGCUAUAUUACCCAUCCUUCCCCAAAUUCAUCCAUUAGACUGGCCACAGCAUCACCUGACCAGGUCUAGAGUCACCAGUUAUUAUGUACCUCUCUUCCCCUGAAAAAAAGCCAAACAAAACACUUUUUUGUAAGAUUUCUUUAAUAAAAUGUUGAAACAUCAGCUGAACA
RNAcentral lists this long non-coding RNA (1220 nucleotides) under Monodelphis domestica (gray short-tailed opossum). Its description in RNAcentral is "lncRNA (ENSMODG00000049019.1)". Lineage: Eukaryota; Metazoa; Chordata; Mammalia; Didelphimorphia; Didelphidae. The record is from RNAcentral.